CAGGGUGUAGCGCAGUCAGGUAGCGUAUCUGUUUUGGGUACAGGAGGCCGCGUGUUCGAGUCACGCCACCCUGA
Molecule: transfer RNA, 74 nt
Filed under: Cavernulicola chilensis
Lineage: Eukaryota; Rhodophyta; Bangiophyceae; Cavernulicolales; Cavernulicolaceae
Description: tRNA-Pro
Rfam family: tRNA
About the family: Transfer RNA (tRNA) molecules are approximately 80 nucleotides in length.
Source: RNAcentral